Molecule: ribosomal RNA, 282 nt
Filed under: uncultured prokaryote
Description: partial 16S ribosomal RNA
Rfam family: Bacterial small subunit ribosomal RNA
Source: RNAcentral
UACGGAGGAUGCGAGCGUUAUCCGGAUUUAUUGGGUUUAAAGGGUGCGUAGGCCGACUUUUAAGUCAGCGGUGAAAUUUUCCGGCUCAACCGGGACAUUGCCGUUGAAACUGAUAGUCUUGAGUGUAAAUGAGGUAGGCGGAAUGUGUGGUGUAGCGGUGAAAUGCGUAGAUAUCGGGAGGAACACCGGUGGCGAAGGCGGCUUUCUGGCCAGUUACUGACGCUCAUGCGCGAAAGCUGGGGUAGCGAACCGGAUUAGAUACCCGGGUAGUCCCUGAGCGGG